UUAAGAUUAAUGUUAGCAGUUAGUAAGUUGAACAACUAAGGUAGUAAUACAAAACAUUAUUAAAUUUAGUAUGGGUGAUUGAAAUUUAAUGUUUCUGCAUGAAGAUAGUACUGUGAAGGAAAUCAGAAAACUAAGGAUUAGAAGUAAUUAAAAUCCGUACCUUUUGCAUCAUGGCUUAACUAGAUUAGGUCCUAAAUAGGAGAUCUCGAAACCUAAUGAGCUAUCUUUGUUCCUUUUUAUAGACUGUGACUGAGUUGGUUGUGGCAAAAACCUCUCAAGAAAUAAAGAUAGAUAUGAAAUUUUAUACGCAUUAGGUGAUAGCUAGUUCUUUUCUAAAGGCAUAUUAGUGCCCUAAGUCAUAAGUUCAACAGCACAAAUAGAUAUUUGUGAUUGUGUGUGCUGGUUUAGUCAGAUUUUCGAGGAUAAGCUCGAAAGUGAUUAGGAAUUGCAUUUAAUUUUUUCUGAGAUAUAAGCUUAGUAAUGGCUAUUGAUAUAGGAUUUUGUUAUAAUUCAUUUUUUGAUUCUCAAUAUAAUUUAUUUGCUUAAUAAAUAUAGAGAAGAAAUUUUAAUAACUUAAUCAUAAAAUAAUUUUAUGUUAAGAUGAGUAUUAAAUUAUUUAUUAAACUAACUAAGAAAUUAAAACUUAGUAUUAUGUAAAAUAUUUUAAAAUAAAAUCAUAAAUAGAGGAACUCGGCAAGUCCGUAUUCUGCCUGUUUAUCAAAAACAUGGCUUCGUGUUAAUAUUAAAAUACGAAGUCGGACCUGCCCAGUGAAUUUUAAACGGCCGCGGUACUCUGACCGUGCAAAGGUAGCAUAAUCAUUUGCCUUAUAAUUGAAGGCUGGAAUGAAUGGUUUGACAAGAAUACACCUGUCUCUUUUAGAUUAUUUAGAAUUUUAUUUCUGGAUGAAAAAGUCCAGAUAGUAUUAAAAGACAAGAAGACCCUAUCGAGCUUUAGAAAAGUUAGUAGACUUAAUGCAAAUUAAUAUAAGUAAAAAAAAAGCUAUUAAAUAUUUUGGUUGGGGCAACCGAGGAGCAGAUAAAGCCUCCUCUAAAUUGUAAAUCUUACUUGUGUUGAUCCAGAAAUUUUGAUCAAAGGAAUUAGUUACCGUAGGGAUAACAGCAUUAUCUUUUUCAAGAGCCCAUAUCGAAAAAAAGGUUUGUGACCUCGAUGUUGGACCAGAAUAUCCUAAAGAUGCAGAAGUCUUUAAGGGUUGGUCUGUUCGACCAUUAAA
This 1232-nucleotide ribosomal RNA is filed under the name Conus ventricosus. RNAcentral describes it as "partial 16S ribosomal RNA". It matches the Rfam family "Bacterial large subunit ribosomal RNA", at positions 421 to 2592 of the family's 2925-position model. Lineage: Eukaryota; Metazoa; Mollusca; Gastropoda; Neogastropoda; Conidae. The record is from RNAcentral.